RNAcentral lists this ribosomal RNA (456 nucleotides) under uncultured bacterium. RNAcentral describes it as "bacterial SSU rRNA". It matches the Rfam family "Bacterial small subunit ribosomal RNA", at positions 340 to 786 of the family's 1533-position model. The record is from RNAcentral.
UACGGAAGGCAGCAGUGGGGAAUAUUGCACAAUGGGCGAAAGCCUGAUGCAGCUAUGCCGCGUGUAUGAAGAAGGCCUUAGGGUUGUAAAGUACUUUCAUCGGGGAGGAAAAAACAAAACUAAUAAUUUUAUUUCUUGACGUUACCCGAAAAAGAAGCACCGGCUAACUCCGUGCCAGCAGCCGCGGUAAUACGGAGGGUGCUAGCGUUAAUCAGAAUUACUGGGCGUAAAGAGCACGUAGGUGGUUUUUUUAAAGUCAGAUGUGAAAUCCCUGGGCUUAACCUAGGAACUGCAUUUUGAAACUGAAAUACUAGAGUAUCGUAGAGGGAGGUAGAAUUCUAGGUGUAGCGGUGAAAUGCGUAGAUAUCUGGAGGAAUACCUGUGGCGAAAGCGGCCUCCUAAACGAAUACUGACACUGAGGUGCGAAAGCGUGGGGAGCAAACAGGAUUAGAUACC